Molecule: long non-coding RNA, 1995 nt
Organism: Oryzias melastigma (Indian medaka)
Lineage: Eukaryota; Metazoa; Chordata; Actinopteri; Beloniformes; Adrianichthyidae
Exons: 2
Source: RefSeq, a predicted model, not a curated record
GAUCCUUUGGAGCAAAACUAUCCUACUUGUUACUUGGUCAUCGCUGGUUCACUUUCUGCAGAAUAACCAAGUGAGUGUUGAAGUAAACCAGAACAUACAAGAUAAUUUCAUUGUAUUUUCUAAAACAUUUAUAUUUACGAUUAAGAGUAAUUUUAAUCCUAUCAUUCACUUGUAUGUGGAUUAGCAUCUCCUUUUACUUUUUUUUUUUACUUUCCAAACACAAACAAUAAUACAAAGUUUGAUAUAUUUUUGUAUAGAUUUGUUUGUACGUUUUUAUUAUUAUUAUUAUUUGAUUGCUUAAAAUAAAUCAAUUCCAAAUCCAAUCUUAAUCCUAAUCCAUAAUAUUCCUGAUUCCUGUGAGUUAAUGAUUCACCAAAAAAAAAAUCAGUUAGCAGCUGGAAAGCAGUCAAAUGUUCUUGAAGAUCAGGCCUGAAAACAAGAAAUCAAAAUAAAUGAUAGUAAAAACCAAUAAAAAAAAGUUGACUUUCCUAAAAGCUGUAAAAUUCUGAUUCCAAUUUGACCAAAUAUUUUAUGAAGCACAUGUCAAACAUUAUAGAUUUAUGUUGCAGUACCUUUAAUAACAUGGAUUGAAGUUUCACUAAUAAAAAUUUCACCUCCUUUUCAACAAGAGUUUAUUAAGUUAAUUUCAUUUCAGUGUGAAUUGUGUAAAAAAAAAAAAAAAAUAACUAAGGCUUGUAAUAAAUCUGACCAAGUCAAUUAGCAGGAUAAAAGAGAAAUAACAGAGAGAAUAGACGGGGCUUAUUAGAAUUCCACAGCUAUAUUAACACCCUCAGAGAGGAGACUUCUCUCCAGCUCUUACCUGGAUUAUGAGUUUGUGGUCACUAAGCAACGCGCUGGAGAGCAACUGAGAUUUCAGCUCAGCUGGAUACACCAGCAUACCCACACCGUGGGGAUCCUGGCAGACCCUCCAGCUGCCAAAUUGAUUUCUCCAGCUCUGCAUUGCUCAGCACACUUCAGACCACAUCGAGACUGCAAGAAAAAGGAGACCAGCAACGACAGCAAAUAAGUGAAAAUCUAAGAGGAGGGAUAAAAGAACAAGGUGAAAGGUAGGAGAAAGAGACGAGCUGUCAUCAUAGAUCACACGGGCGACCUUUCCAGUUGCAGAGGUGGAUGAGAGCUGUUGCUGAUUAAUCUGUCUGCAGCCGCUGGAUUUACACCAAACUGAUUCAACCUGCAAGUGGACAAGUCAUUGCUGGAUAGGUUUGCCCAGCUAAAAUGACUGACCUGCUGUUCAGUGAGCUGACUAAUGCAUAAAGAGGAAGUUUGUGGAAGAGGGAGUAAGUCACUAAUGUACUAUUCAAGUGUCAAGUCUUAACCUUCAAGUCUCAAGCACGUACCAAGUCGUUGUGGAAAAAAAAGUCACAGGUCAUCCAAAUAUGUAAAAGACAGAGGAAAAAGUCUGAUCAGCUUUGUGGUUAUUUUUUAAUUUUUUGGUUUUAUCACGUAUGAUUUAUAUAGGUGUUCUUCACCCAUUUAAAGUACUGACUCAUAAUAUUUAGUUUACUACAAUAUGACCUAGACCACUUUUCACUUUGAAAUCUGCAUUCCUGAUGACUUCAGUGGAUCAUAUAAUUCCAGUGCUUUCUGAUCUGAUCUUCACUGACUUCCUGCUGGCUUUAGAACACACCCACUCUGAUGAAAAUCCUGUUUUAGUGUUUUUAUAGCAGCACAUGUGCUUCUAUGUUUCUUGGAUUUUUUUUUUUUUUUGAGUAAUUGUGAAGACUAUGAAUAUGACAGGUAUUAAUGUCAUCUCUAUUAAAAAUUCCUGCAAUUAUGCAUGUGUUUAUAGCAUUAGACACCAGGAAGAAUAGUCUCUACAUUGGUAAAGACUUCUGGGGAACCUUAAAUGAACAAAUACUGUCAUUGAGAAUAUAAAUCCUGAAGCAGUUUGAAUAACUCUUGAACUGGAUGCAGAGUUGCUGUUCUUGUGUUGAUCAUUUGAUUGCUGUUGAUCUCUGCACAGUAUGCAUUGGA